CGCGCGCUUUCUCACUCUCUUCUCGGUUCUACACUCCUGUCGCCGCCGGCGAUGUCGAUUGGAGUCCGGGAUCUGACGGUCCUCGGGGAGUUCAAGCCCUUCGGCCUGGUCUCUGAGGAGCUUGAGGGGAAGCCCCUCGAGACCGGCCCCGAGGAACACCAGUACUUCCUCUUCCACGCCGACGUCGCCCGCGAGAGGGACGGCCCCGCAGCCGCUACCCUAUCCUCUGCCGCCGUCUCAGCCGAUCUCGACUUCUCUUCCCCCUCGCCCCCCUCCGACGACGGCGAUCACGAGAUCUUUAUACGCGGUAGCCGGAUAACAUGGAGCACAGGGUCCCGGGUUCAUAAACGAUACAACUCUCCGAAAACAGUCAUUAUGGCCUGCUGGUGUCGCAUGGAAGCUAUUCCAGAUGCUCUUCUUUGUGUUCUGCAGAUUGAUACUUUAUCGAUUUAUGGUGCAUCUGGUGAGGUGGUUUGUAUACCUCUACCAUUUGCUAUUGCAUCUAUAUUUCCCCUUCCAUUUGGUCUACUUCUACAGAAGGCUGUAGAUGGGAACCGGCGAAUAUCUAUCUCUGGCUCACCGCUAAAUGCAAGAGAUUUGUCUCGUUCUGGUAAAGACUCUGGGUGGAAUCGCCAUGUAUUUCAUCAACUUAACUCUUUUGAGCCAGUUAUCAAAGAGAACGAGGCAAUAACGUCAUCGCAUUUGAUCCUAAGACAUCCUUUGGAAGAGCCUCAGGCAACAUAUAUUGAAGAAUGGGGAAAAUUCAUUUUGUUGAAAGAUUUUGAGGAAAGAACUAUUUGGAGCAGUGAUGUUGUGCCUUUGAUGGCAUCAUAUCAUAAAAGCAAGAUGCAGCAUUCUAUUUGGCUUCUAGAAACUGUAUCUCAUUGUGAGGCAGAAACUGCUAUGGUUGAUGCAGUUUCAACUGAACUAUCUAAUCAACAAUUUUCAUUUAGGAGGAUAUGGCAGGGAAAAUGUUCCCAGUCUGCUGCUAGUAAGGUUUUUCUUGCGACUGAUAUGGAUGGAGUGCCUAUUAUUUGUUUUUUGCUUGUUGACCAAAAAGUACUACUUGCUGUAAGGCUUCAAAUUGAUGAAGGUAAUGAUGAGGCUCUUGUGGAUAUCAAGCCACAUAUGAGUUGGAGUAUCCCUGCACUUGAUGCUGCAUCUGUAAUUGUGACACGUCCAAGAGUCGAAGUUGGGCGUUUACCAUUUAGUGACAUUGUUGUCUUGGGUGCAGAAAACCAUCUUCUUUUAUAUUCAGGCAAACAAUGCCUUUGCAGGUACUUACUGCCUAUCCGACCGGGGAAAAACCUUUUACGUAGCAAGCAUUCUGCAGGGACAACAGACAUGUGCUCUGAACUAACGAUUACAGGAAUUAAAGAUGCUGUUGAAGGUCGCAUAAAUGUGAUUGUAAAUAAUGGACAGAUAUUCAGAUGUUCACUACGGAGAAACCCCACUACAUCUCUGGCAAAUGACUGCAUAACAGUUAUGGCUGUGGGACUUCAAUUCUCCUUUUACAGUCAUUUUGCUACUCUUCUCUGGGGUGACUUUGGUUCUGCUUAUUUCUUCCAUUCUCGUCCUCAUACAGAUUCUGAGUGGGAUGCCUUUGCUGGUGCGGUGAUGAGGAUCUGCGAUAGAUACGGAACCAGAAUGCAGAGACAGAGCCCUCCAGUGUCUGGUGCAGCUUGGGAAUUUUUAGUUAAUAGCAAGCUUCACCGUAGACACUCAAUUGGGCGAGGUAUCUUUUCUAUGAACAUGCCUAAUUGUAGUGGUGCUGACUACAACGAUUCUCAAAUACAAGAUGAGCAAAACGAAGGGAGGCCAUUUUAUUCUCAGCUUUUGGCGGAAACUUUGGACUCUUUGCACUGUCUUUAUGAGAGUUUGAAGCUGGAUAAGUUGCGAAAACAAGAUGUUGGGCAACUUGUUACACUGUUAUUUACUAUUGCUGCUUCUUUGGGUGAGGAAAAUUACGUGGACUACUAUAUUCGUGACUUCCCCUUUCUUUUAGCUGAAGGUUGUUCUUUCCAUUCAUGUGCUUCUCCAAGAACUCCUCCAUCUUUAUUCCGAUGGAUUGAAAAUUGUCUGCAUAAAGGAUACCAUGUGUCCAACAUGAAGAAUCUUCCCCCUUUAUUAUGCAGAGAGAAUAUCUAUGUUGUAAGUUGGGCCAGAAAGAUAGUGGCAUUUUAUAGUGUACUUGUAGGCGCAGAAAGGAAAGGUAGGAUACUAUCAACUGGAGUUUAUUGUGAAAUUGCCAAUGGAUCAGCCAGAACGAUAGAGGAGCUAACUGUCCUGGCCAUGGUUGGUGAAAGAUUUGGACGUCAACAACUUGACUUGCUACCUCUUGGUGUAUCUCUUCCGCUACGUCAUGCUUUGGACAAAUGUCGAGAAUCCCCUCCAACUGACUGGCCUGCUGCGGCAUAUGUUUUGGUUGGUCGUGAGGACUUAGCCAUGGCAUGUUUGGGAUCCUUGAGCAAAGAGCAUGGAAGUCAAGGCAGUUUGAAUUUAGUAGCCAUUUCUGUACCAUACAUGCUUCAUUUGCAGCCUGUAUCUGUACCUUCGUCACUCACUGAGAUCACUGGUUCGGAUAGUAUGAAGCUUGAGGACUCCGAUGCUCUUCAUAGAUCCUUGGAAGAUGGUAUGGAGCACAUCUAUAACUCGAGCACCCAAUUGCGAUUUGGCCGUGAUCUAAGGUUGAAUGAGGUUAGACGCCUUUUGUGCUCUGCGAGACCUGUGGCUAUUGAAACACCUGUUAAUCCUAGUGCUUCUGAUCAAGACCUGCAGCAGCAUCAACUUUGGAAUCUUGCUCAAAGGACUACUGCCCUUCCCUUUGGCCGUGGAGCAUUCACUUUAGCUUCUACGUAUGCUGUGUUGACCGAGGCACUUCAUGUCCCAAAGCUUGUUUUGGCUGGCAGAUUACCUGCACAACAAAAUGCUACUGUAAACCUAGAUCCAAACUUGAGAAAUAUUUUAGAACUCAGAUCCUGGCCCGAGUUUCAUAAUGGUGUUGCUGCUGGAUUAAGAUUGGCGCCCUUCGAGGGUAAAAUGUCAAGAACUUGGAUUCAAUAUAACAAACCUGAGGAACCAAGCUUUACACAUGCAGGGAUUCUUCUAGCCUUAGGCCUUCAUGGACACUUAUGUUCUUUGGCUAUGACUGAUGUAUAUCGGUAUUUAACUCAGGAGCAUGACAUCACUACAGUUGGAGUACUGCUUGGUGUGGCAGCAUCGUAUCGGGGAACUAUGCAUCCUGAAAUAUCCAGGAUACUCUACCUCCAUGUUCCCACUCGACACCAGUUAUCCUUUCCAGAGUUGGAAUUGCCAACAAAUUUGCAGUCAGCUGCACUAGUGGCUAUUGGGCUUCUCUAUGAAGGUUCAGCCCAUCCAUUCACCAUGAAGAUACUUCUGGGAGAGAUAGGUCGAAGAAGUGGUGGUGAUAAUGUGCUUGAAAGAGAAGGAUAUGCUGUUGCUGCUGGAUAUGCACUGGGACUUGUAGCUUUAGGUCGUGGGAAAGGUGCAUUUGGUUUUGUUGACAGUUUUGUGGAUCGACUUUUUCACUAUAUUGGCGAGAAAGGAGUUCAAAAUGGGAAAUCUUCAGUAGUGUCACAAACAACAGAUGAUCACAUCCGCAUUCUUGGGCAGAUGGUGGAUGGAGCUCACAUAAAUGUUGAUGUAACUGCUCCUGGUGCUACAAUUGCACUAGCACUGAUAUUUAUGAAGACAGAAUCAGAAGAAAUGGUGUCUAGACUCCAUCUUCCAGUAACUCACUUUGAUCUGCAGUAUGUGAGGCCUGAUUUUAUCAUGCUUCGUGUCAUCACACGGAAUUUGAUUAUGUGGAGCAACAUGCAGCCAUCUAGGAACUGGAUUGAAUCUCAAAUUCCUGAUAUUAUCAAAUUAGGGGUUUUGAGAUUAGAUGGAGUAGUUGAUGAUGAUGAGUUUGAUGCUGAAGCUGUUGUUCAGGCCUAUGUGAACAUAGUAGCUGGUGCUUGCAUUUCACUUGGAAUAAAGUAUGCUGGCACCAAAAGUGAAGAAGCCCAAGAGCUGCUAUAUAAUUAUGCAAUCUAUUUUCUGAACGAGAUUAAGCAUGUGCCGGCAACAACAAACAUUACCUUACCAAAAGGAAUGCUACAAUACGUGGACCGUGGCACUUCAGAGAUAUGCCUGCACCUUAUUGUUCUUUCUCUCUCUUUGGUUAUGGCAGGAUCUGGGCAUCUACAAACAUUUCGGUUAUUGAGAUACCUGCGUGGUCGAAGUUCUACAGAAGGGCACAUAAAUUAUGGAAUCCAAAUGACUGUUAGCUUAGCCAUCGGAUUUUUAUUUCUUGGGGGUGGUAUGCAAACCUUUUCAACUGGAAAUAGUGCAGUCGCUGCACUUUUAAUGACUCUUUAUCCUCGUCUUCCUACUGGUCCUAGUGAUAAUCGUUGUCACCUUCAGGCUUUCCGACAUCUGUAUGUAAUUGCUGCUGAGUCUCGUCGGGUGCAGACGGUAGAUGUUGAUACAGGUCUGCCAGUUUAUUGUCCCCUUGAAGUUUCAAUCAAGGAAACAGAACACUAUUCUGAGACUAGCUUUUGUGAAGUUACCCCCUGCAUUCUGCCAGAACGCUCUGUGCUGAAGACAGUUCGAGUUUGUGGGCCUAGGUAUUGGCCUCAAGUCAUACAGCUUAUUCCUGAAGAUAAACCUUGGUGGAGAUUUAGGGACAAGACUGGCCCUUUUAAUGGUGGUAUCUUGUACAUAAAGAGAAAAGUUGGCUCAUGUUCCUAUGUGGAUGACCCCAUUGGUUGUCAAUCUUUGCUUUCAAGAGCAAUGCACAAGGUUUGUGAUACAUCGGAUAUGAACUGCUCAAACACAAGAAACAAUAACUCUGCACCCGGUUCAUACAAAAUUGAUCAGUUAGUCAGUACAUUCUCCGCUGAUCCAAGCUUGAUAGGUUUUGCACAACUUUGCUGUGAUUCCUGGAAUAGUAGGGCUGAUGCCAAUUUCCAGGAGUUCUGCUCACAAUUACUAUUUGAGUGUGUGAGCAAAGACAGGCCGGCUCUCCUUCAGAUCUAUCUCUCGCUGUAUACGACGAUUGAAGCAAUGUGGGAGCAGGUUAAAAGUUGUCGUCUUGUUUUUGAAGAUUCACUUUUUCUUUCCAGCCUAAAGCUUGCUUUAGCCUAUAAUGAGGCUCUCAUCAAUGGCAAAUUGUCUUGUGGUAGUGUAUCCAUCAUCCAAUGUACAUUCAUUCAAUCACUUAAAAGGCAUAUGGAAGAAAUCCUGAUAUGUUCCCAAAGUCUGAAUGAGAACGUCUUCAAAUAUUUGGAUUCUGGAAUUUGGCCUGAUUGCCAAAGUGACACGGGUAAAAUGGAUGCUAUGCUUCUUUCUUGGUAUCUUUUGUGGUAUGGGAUACCAUCCUUCCGUGUCAUAAAGUCUGCUGUCGAGAAAAUCAAAGCAAAAGCUCCACUGUCCUUAACCAUGAUUCCUCUACUGCGAUUGUUACUGCCAACAACCCAAGCAAAAGGCAUUUUCGAAAUAGACAAGUUCCAAUUUUGAUCUAGGGUCUGAAAAAGUAAUUGCACGAGGAUCUGAGUGCAGAUGCAAACCUUGCUUCUGGCUUUUCCUGCAUAUGUGAACAUUGUAUCUUCCUGUUACAAUCAGUUCAAUCAGAACAUUAAAAGAUGUUGACAAUCCGGCGGCUAAAUGGGUUGAUUGCCCCUUUAAAAGGGGGGCUUGAUUGAUGUGAUGGCGAGAGGAAUGUCAGCAAAACUUUUGUUCAGUAUGGGCUUAAAUGUAGCAUCCAUUAUGUUACGCUUGCACAAGAAAAGAAUCAUACGGUGUACAAGAAAAUACUUCAAUUUGCAGAGAAAAUAGGUGCACUAGUAAAUAUCAUCAGUACUGGAUUGCUCUUGUUUUACGAACUCGACAUUGACCUUUGGUGGCGGUGAUCGCCCUGGUUGGUGAUUUGCUGCAGAUGCAAGCAAAUAUCGGCAUCUUAGCAAUGCUUUUCGUUGGCAAGCCAUCGCAGUUGAAGUAGAUUCGACCCUUCUUGCAUGAGGACCAACUGCUAUAGGUUAAAUAACCCCGAGUCCUUUGCUGGAGGCAUACGUUAUCCCCAGAAACUAUCUGUUAGAAGAGUUGGUCGGACAUGCGAUUGAUUCGAACAGCUUUUGGUCCCCUGUUAAUCACGAGUUAUCCGUGGUUGACCUUUUUCAUCAGAUAGAAAGAGAAGGAAACAAGUUGAGAGACCGUAGGGUGGUGGACUUUUUCUUUUUCCAAGAAUAAUUGGAUCGAAAAGAGAAGCCGUGGGAUGGUGGAAACCCACCAGGUUUUAAUUACUGGCCGCAGUGGGGUUCCCAGUGUGGUAUGAUCGUUUUGUCUUUGACCAACGAGCCAAGUAUCUUUUGCAGAUGAUACAAUUUAAUCAUCUUUGUCGUGUUGAUUAUAGAUUUUAAUUCAGAUAUUAUACUUUUAGUUCA
This is an RNA transcript of Musa acuminata AAA Group (dessert banana), 6443 nucleotides long. It is a transcript of the gene named anaphase-promoting complex subunit 1-like, with no coding region annotated. Lineage: Eukaryota; Viridiplantae; Streptophyta; Magnoliopsida; Zingiberales; Musaceae. The transcript is spliced from 38 exons. The record is from RefSeq and is a predicted model, not a curated record.